GGUGGCUCAGUGGUACAGCACUUGCCUUGCAUGCCUGAGGCCCUGGGUUCGAUUCCCAGCACCA
RNAcentral lists this transfer RNA (64 nucleotides) under Dipodomys ordii (Ord's kangaroo rat). It matches the Rfam family "tRNA". Rfam says of the family: Transfer RNA (tRNA) molecules are approximately 80 nucleotides in length. Their secondary structure includes four short double-helical elements and three loops (D, anti-codon, and T loops). The record is from Rfam by way of RNAcentral. Lineage: Eukaryota; Metazoa; Chordata; Mammalia; Rodentia; Heteromyidae.